AAGAAAAAUUAUAAAAC
Molecule: small RNA, 17 nt
Filed under: Arabidopsis thaliana (thale cress)
Lineage: Eukaryota; Viridiplantae; Streptophyta; Magnoliopsida; Brassicales; Brassicaceae
Description: ATSL075830
Source: RNAcentral